ACCUGCCAGACUACCAACACACAGAUGUGUCAGGACUGCCAAGGCUGGUGUGUUGUUCUUAACUACCACCCUCUUCACUAGCCUGUGGAUUCCAUCACUGAGAAAACAAGGAGACAAUCACUUUGUUACCCUUUUCCUUCAGCAUCCUGCACUACCUGUAUGUGCACAUAAAUACCUGUUUACUCCUCCUUGUUAAGGGUAGAGCCAGUGAAUAUUAUGGGAGGCUUUGUUAUAUUUUGACAAUGCUAAGAUUAGAACAUCUCAGUUCUAGAACAGCACUGCAUAGCACCCAUUUUGUGUCUGGGUAUUCACCUAUGCCAAGUUCUCAUUGCUACUUUCUUGUUUAUAGGGCCCUGGAAUGGCAAGGAAGUUCUCUGCUCCUGGGCAGCUGUGCAUUUCCAUGACCUCAAACAUGGGUGGCUCUACCCCCAUCUCUGCAGCAUCUGCUACCUCUCUAGGUCACUUCACCAAGUCCAUGUGCCCCCCACAGCAGUAUGGUUUUCCAGCUGCCCCAUUCGGCACUCAGUGGAGUGGAACAGGUGGUCCAGCACCACAGCCACUUGGUCAGUUCCAACCUGUAGGAACCACAUCCUUGCAAAAUUUCAACAUCAGCAAUUUGCAGAAGUCCAUCAGCAACCCCCCAGGUUCCAACCUACGGACCACCUAGUCAGCAGCAAGGAUGUUAACUGAGUAGAUCUGGGGGCAGGAAAUGGAAUGGUGAUGGGGUGGGGGGUGGGG
This 738-nucleotide long non-coding RNA is filed under the name Rattus norvegicus (Norway rat). RNAcentral's name for it is "long non-coding RNA NONRATT021788". Lineage: Eukaryota; Metazoa; Chordata; Mammalia; Rodentia; Muridae. The record is from RNAcentral.